Molecule: ribosomal RNA, 712 nt
Filed under: Bacillus velezensis
Lineage: Bacteria; Bacillati; Bacillota; Bacilli; Caryophanales; Bacillaceae
Description: bacterial SSU rRNA
Rfam family: Bacterial small subunit ribosomal RNA
Source: RNAcentral
GGCUGCCUAAUACAUGCAAGUCGAGCGGACAGAUGGGAGCUUGCUCCCUGAUGUUAGCGGCGGACGGGUGAGUAACACGUGGGUAACCUGCCUGUAAGACUGGGAUAACUCCGGGAAACCGGGGCUAAUACCGGAUGGUUGUCUGAACCGCAUGGUUCAGACAUAAAAGGUGGCUUCGGCUACCACUUACAGAUGGACCCGCGGCGCAUUAGCUAGUUGGUGAGGUAACGGCUCACCAAGGCGACGAUGCGUAGCCGACCUGAGAGGGUGAUCGGCCACACUGGGACUGAGACACGGCCCAGACUCCUACGGGAGGCAGCAGUAGGGAAUCUUCCGCAAUGGACGAAAGUCUGACGGAGCAACGCCGCGUGAGUGAUGAAGGUUUUCGGAUCGUAAAGCUCUGUUGUUAGGGAAGAACAAGUGCCGUUCAAAUAGGGCGGCACCUUGACGGUACCUAACCAGAAAGCCACGGCUAACUACGUGCCAGCAACCGCGGUAAUACGUAGGUGGCAAGCGUUGUCCGGAAUUAUUGGGCGUAAAGGGCUCGCAGGCGGUUUCUUAAGUCUGAUGUGAAAGCCCCCGGCUCAACCGGGGAGGGUCAUUGGAAACUGUGGAACUUGAGUACAGAAGAGGAGAGUGGAAUUCCGCGUGUAGCGGUGAGAUGCAUAGAGGUGUGGAGGAGCACAGGGGGAACGCGACUCUUUGGUCUGUU